GCCGCCUUAGCUCAGCUGGCAGAGCGCUUGACUUGUAAUCAGGAGGUCUCCGGUUCAAACCCGGGAGGCGGCU
Molecule: transfer RNA, 73 nt
Filed under: Treponema sp.
Lineage: Bacteria; Pseudomonadati; Spirochaetota; Spirochaetia; Treponematales; Treponemataceae
Description: tRNA-Thr
Rfam family: tRNA
About the family: Transfer RNA (tRNA) molecules are approximately 80 nucleotides in length. Their secondary structure includes four short double-helical elements and three loops (D, anti-codon, and T loops). Further hydrogen bonds mediate the characteristic L-shaped molecular structure. tRNAs have two regions of fundamental functional importance: the anti-codon, which is responsible for specific mRNA codon recognition, and the 3' end, to which the tRNAs corresponding amino acid is attached (by aminoacyl-tRNA synthetases). tRNAs cope with the degeneracy of the genetic code in two manners: having more than one tRNA (with a specific anti-codon) for a particular amino acid; and 'wobble' base-pairing, i.e. permitting non-standard base-pairing at the 3rd anti-codon position.
Source: RNAcentral